GAUGUAAAUAAAUACAAUAACUACUUUUUAAAAAGUACCUUGAAUUUUAGGAAGAAAAAGGUAUGAAAAUGUUGAUACUUUUCUUGUAUCAAUUACCUGAGAAGCUUGCAUGAAGAGUGUAUUUGACAUACACUAAGUAAAACAGAUUAUUAAACAUUUUGACUGUUUAAUUUUUACUUUAAAAUGGGUAGUUAGGGUCUGGGUGUAGCAGCUUAGUUGGUAGAGUGCCUGGUUAGCCUGCACCAAGUUCUGGGUUUGAUUUCUAGGCCACAUAAACUAGAUGUGGUAGUGUACACCUGUGAUUUCAGCACUUAGGAGGUAGAGGCAGGAGGAUCAGGAACUUAAGAUCACCCUCAGUUACACGUCAACUUUGAGGGCCACCCUGGACCCCAUGAGGCCUUGCCUUUAAAACAAAGUGAGAUUACUUAGAAAUGUUUAAAUGCUCCAUGAGAACAAUUUAUUGCUCUGGGAUCGUGCUAGCCUAAAGUAUAAGUGAGCCACUGUUAGAAAUCAGAGCACCUGGUUCUGAGUCCAGGAGAAAGCAGCCUCUUCAGCGUAGCCCAAGAUCUCACCAGUGAUGAAGAAGAUAGCGAUAUCUCCCACCCAUUUAAACCUUACGAUCUCCUGUCUCAGCUUUGAAAAGUACCAAGCCCUUCUGAUAACUCAAAUAUAAUGUGAAGAUAUACUCUGAUCUCUGAAAUUAGAAUAAUCAAGAACGUCUUCCUCGUCUAUGAAGAAAGCCAUGUAAUCAGUUCAAUAAUUGUGAGCAAUUAGCUAACCUUCAGCAAGCAUCGGGGUUGCUCCAAGCAAUAAAUAGGCAGCUUUAAGGACUACACAAACUGAAUUUCUAGCAAGGUAAGUUCAAACUGGGAUAGAACCAGAGGUGGUCUCUCUGCAGACAGAGCUUUGCUUUCUGACUGACUGGUAACCUUGGUAACAAAAAGGAGACUGUUUUCAGUUCACUUCUCUACAGCCAUUGUUGUUGGGAGAUGUAAAAUGGAUAGGGCAGAAGAAACAGUCAAAUAAGAUCCAGAGAAAAACUUAAAUGGUGGGCCAUGGGCAGCUUUUCCAGAGCAGGUGAGGACCAGGGCUCAGGCACUCAGUUGCUGAUGCCACUGAGUAGAUAGAAGGAUGGAGAAGAGGCAGGAUGAAGCUUCAUGCUUACCACAGGCACCAUAUGCCCUGAAAGAGACCAUCAGGAUCCGGCUCCUGUUUCACAGAUGGGAGAAAGGGCAGCAGGGGAGGCCAAGCCUCUGGGAAAGGCUGGUGUUUCCAGGCCCUGGGCUGGGUUAGAAGCCCAGAGGGAAUAAGAGGCCUUCUCCGUCCCUCUCUCCCUCCCUCCUUCCUUCCCUCCCUUCAGCCAUUCUUACUGGGAGGAGAUCCUGUCUAUUUGACAGUGUUUCCUUCGCCAAGGAAGCAGCCUGUAAAAUGAUUAGCUCACAAAGUGUACUGUUUCAAAAUCAAUUUUUAAGAAAAUUGUCCAUACUUCUAUGCACAGGUCCAUAAAAAAAUAAGUUAGGAGAGAAUCAUAAGAGAACAUUCGCUCUUUCAGAACAAAAGAAGAGGCCCGUUUUGCUGCAGGAAAAAAAAUGGUUCCUUAUUCUUCAUUAAUUUCCCCUAAGUUCAAGUCCACAUGUAGGCUAUUAACAGACAAAGGCCAGAUCCCAAUACAGAGAACACCAAGAGAUUUAUAGACACCUCUUACACUCAAGAAAAUUGUCACAGUGUUAUUUGAAAUAUGAGUUACUGGAUCUGGUAUGGAAAUAUUUCUUUACAUUUAUUCAAUAAUUAGUUCCUGAAUGGCAGCUGUAUGCCAGGCACAGCUCUGGGCCUGGGGGCAGGGAAGAUGAUUAAAGCCCUGGGGAGGACCAUCCGUUCUGAGUGAGUAAGUGUGGAGUGUGUCGUCAGGGGCAGGAUGAGGGGCUGGGGACGACCGGGUUUGGAGAUAUGGGGUGGAUGGCAAGGGAAGACCCUGUAGGAAAUGGUGGGUGCAGAGAUCGAGUUCCUGAGAAUUAAGGAGAGAAGAGGAUCACAGAAGGAACAAGACGUGGGAGACACAGCAUGUGCUUGAAGUGAAUCCACUUCUGUGGACAAGAGCUGUCGUGUAGUCCUCAUAGAACUCGAGGCAGUCAAUAAAAGUAGAGAAUUGUAGACUGGUGGCCAUGCUGGAGAGAAGAGUGGGGGAAUGCAAGGAAGAGGAGCUGAAGUUAAACAUCUCUGGAUGACUGCAUCUCAGUGAUCUCUGAUGAAAUUCCCACAUAAUCUGAUUUUUUAAAAGUCGGCAUGGUUGAUGUUUUGGACAGAUAACUCAAUGUUUGGAGUUGGAUCUGCAGUCAUGCACACUGGAAGGUGUUUCACUACAGUCCUGGUGUGUCUCAACUUAGGACCAGGAACAUUUUUCUCAUUUAUAACGGCCUGAGAUAAUUCCACUGUGGCUCACUGCCACAUCCUCUAGGGAUGGGGGACAAAGUCACCUGAGGUUUAGAAUCACUGUUCCAAACACAAGUGGACAGAGUGUUAUUCUUUCUGAAGAAAUGUCAUCACAGGAAAGGAGUUCACUUAACAUUGAUUUCUAAUCUGACAGAUAAGAAGCUAGGUAUGUCUGGUAGCAAGGUACCAAGGACUUUUUAUGGGGGAUCAGUCUCUGUAUCGGCAGCUUCAUCUCAAGGUUUCAGUUCUCCAUGGUCAACCAUGACCUGAAAAUGCUGAGUAUUCUAGAAGUAAACAAAUUUUUCAUCUAAAAAUCACGCAGUUCUGAGCAAAAGAAACACAGUUGAUGAUUGCUUUGUCCUGUCCAGGCUGAAGAUGGGAAUUCUCUCUUUCCCCAAUAUAUCCAAACACUCUCCUUAUGUUCCCAUAAGUCAUCUUAAAUUGUCUUUAAUUCCAGGAUGGACCAUCGUGCUAUCCCAGAGCUCGUGUUCAAGCACCCUUCAUUUUAUUCGGUAAUAACAUUAGAGCUCACCUGGGCAGUCUUUGCACAGCAACAGAUCAGAGAGAAGCUGCAAAAACAUGAAAGUUUCCAGCUUAUUGAGGAAAGAAAAGACACAGUAUGCAGAGCUCCCUAAGAUCUAAAAUAAGAGCUCUCCCAACUGUGAGGCAUGAAAACGCUAUCCCCAGAGUAUGCAGAAAGUGCUUAGUCAUUCAUCUCCCUUUGUCCCCUCCCUCAGCACUGCAAGAACAGCGAGUACAGUGUGGUAAGAUCUCUCUUCAGAGAGAGAGCUCUAUUCAGAGCUGUUACUAUAGUAUGCUGUUAGUCCAUUCUAUUACUAACUAUAGAUGUGUCUCACUUAUUAGUUAAACUUAUACACAAACAAAAUGAAAUAUGUGCAGGGUUUGACAGUAUCCAAAAACUUAGGCAUCCACUGAGAGCCUCGGGGCAUAGCUUCCAAAAUAAUGGAGUAUUAGCUUAUUCAGUCCAUGCAACAAUUUUGUAAGUAAGAGAUCACUAAUCUUGGGGAAACUGAGCCUUCCGGAGGUGAGUGACUUGUCAGAUGUCGUUUAGCUAGUGAACAACACAGCCAGGAUUCAAACCCAGGUUUGUCUGACUCCAAAGAUCAAUGCUUGUUCUGACCCCCGCACUGUCCAAUAUAGUAGAUGUAAUCAUAUAGAGCUAUUAAGAUUAAAAUGUAAAGGCAUUCAAAUUUAAAUUUCACUUGUACUUGCUACAUUUCGACCACUCAGCUCUGAUACGUGACUAAUGACGUGACCAGUGUCUUGGGCAUGCAUAUGUAGCACAUUUUCAGCCUCCCAGGAGGACUGCUCUGGACCAGUUGGCCCAGAAAGCGGUGGUGGCAUGAGACAGGCAAGCAAAGUGGACGGUCUUCAUCUCCCUAAUUGCUAUUCUUUGUACCCUUCCUUCUGGAAGGCUUACACAGUCUGCCCAUGAUGACCUGCUUCUGUACAGAAAUUCUAGCAAGAAGCAGGAAUGCUGCUAGGAAUUUUGCUUUUGUUUGCAGAAAUGGUUCUUAAUGGCAAGAGACAGGCCUGCCGCAAGUCACCAGGAAGGAGUCUAUUUUUAGAUCUAUGUGGGCCGACAAUGGCACCAAGCGUUUCUUGAUCUUGUGAGCAUGGAAAAGGAAGGAAAGAAACACAUGGUCUUAUUGAGUCCAAGCAGAAAAUUGAUGUCAGAAUCAUUCCUUUCCUUAUUACUUUUUUUUAAUACAGACCUGAGUGUCCCCACAGACUGUGAGAUGUGUGCUCAGUGUCACAUGGUACAGCAGAGACAACUAGAGCCUCCCGAAUGCUGCCCGUCUUGGCACAAUUAGAGUCCAGAAGAUGGAUACGAAGCCCAGGUACUUUGUUGUAGCCACAGGACAAGGGAUUAAUUCAGCAUAAAGUUCUGCCUUGGAAAUUAUGGUAGGGCUUGUAAGAACCUGACAUUGGACAGAUCCUGAAGCUACCCGUCUCAGGCCUACCUGUAGACAGAGCCUUGGAACAGCUCCUGUGCUGGGGCCAUACAGGAGCCCUUAGCUUUGGACAUCAGUAUUGGCCAGCAUGGGACUUUUCAGGUGAAGCCAGAACCCUUGUCCUCUUCAAUGGGGUUCACAUCAAGGGAUGAAAUAAGAGGCAGUGGGGACUUCUUUUUCUUGUGACACCGCUCUGCCUGUGGGGAACUCUCCUGCUGUCUCCUGUUUUCUCACUGUUCCACACAGGUGACGGGAGGUAUCACAUUAAUUCAUCAUCGAGAGGUACAGUCUGGCCCACGAUCUCUGCCCACCGUGCACGGUUCCUGCUGUGUUUGCCAAGGAUGAGUUGGGGUACAGUAUUGAGGAUUUCAUUCAACCCCCUCACCUCCAGUAAAGAACCCCAACCAACCAAACAGAAACCCAUAACGCUAUUGUUUUGCCUAUAGGUCAUCAAAGCAAGCAGAGCCCAAAACUCCACGUUCUUUUGUGUUUCUAUGAAGGAGGAGCACAUAACUGGGAUAAACCGGUUUCAAUAUUUUCUGUUCUCUUGGAGCUCCUCUCUCUUCAAUGGUCUCUCUUAUUUUUGGUGUGAAUUUUUGCUCCUCGCCCACUUGGGUCCCUCAGACAUGGUAGCAUUUUCCAAAGCCUCUCUUUUGUCCCCAGAUUGGACUCUGUCACCAGUGGUAGCCCAGUGCAUAGGCAAACAGGACAGAAUAGAAACGACCCUCUAAUUUGCUCAGACACUUGUACAGAUAAAGUCAUCAUCAUUCCACUUAAAUAAUACCUGAAUUUAACCUUAGAACUUACUUUUCUGGGAGAGAGGAUGGUCAUUCAGCAGCACAACUUUGCCAUGUUCUUGCCAAGUAGCCAAGGAUGACCUUGGACUUCUGAUCCUCUUGCUUGAAGUCCCUGAGUUCUGGGUGCUGGAAUUGCAUGUGUGUACCACCAUGCCCAUUGUAAUUUCUGCAGAGUGGUGCAGCUCAGUGGUGCAGCACCUUUAUGGUAUGAGCUAGGCUUUGGGGGGCUUGAUACCAACAUAAAAAUAAACAGUUCCAAAUUUCCCUAACUUAGGCUUUUCUUUUGCUCUACAAAGGAGGAAGGUCAUUUUGGUGUGUGAGAAACAUGGUCUCACUAUGUAGCACCUGCUCCAGCCUGGAUAAACUUUGUGGUGUCUUUUAAGCAAGAGAAAAGGAGUGAAAGCAGGACUCCCUGCUCAGAUCUCUCGGUCAAGAAUAGGCUGCUGGUGGCUCUGUUACAACCAGGCGUAGCUGGCUUCUGUCUUAAGAAACAUGUGAAGCAGAUUGGUUUCAUUAAUGCCCAUCACCUGAAAAUUUAAAUUUUACUUGAUAGCAAGUAGAUUAUUUUUUAAAUGGGGUCUUGUUCGGUAGCCCUGUCUGGCACAGAACUCACUGCGUUUAAACCAGGCUGGUCUUCAACUUUUAACAAUCUUCCUGUUUCUGCCUCCCAAAUGCUCAGAUUAUUGGUAUGCACUACCUCGCCUGUUACUAGUAAGACUAGUUUUCCUUUGAGCAAAACGAACACAUUUCUAUUGUAGAAGCUUAGGAAAGCACAGAGCAAGUGCACACAGAAAAGACAAGGCACGUUUAGGUCUACUGCCUUAUAGUUGCUUCUUGUAAGGUUUUCCACAGUGCCCCAAGGGGAGUAAAGAAUGCCUUCCAGGGCUACGUUUAGUCAAUUCCGGGACCUUAGCAAGAGGGACAACAUCUUCGUUCAGUCAAGGAUGCUUUUAAAAACACUGGUCAAUGACGAUCAUAUAAUCAUGUCUCUAAGGAUACAUUUGCCCACUGGGACUAUGAUUGUCAGGUAGUGGGUGAUUGGGUUUGUUGUUAUUUUUAGUCAUUGUUUCUCCUAACUGGAUCCUUUAAAAACACAGAACCUAAAGUCAAUGACGAAUGUAAGUAGGUCAGAGCCUAAAUGAGUGAAUCACAGCUCCUGUUUCACCCAUAUGGUUGUCCUUAGCUCAAUGCUCCUGUCUAACCCGAAUGAACCCUGAAGGCUCAUCAGGUUGAGCUCGGAUAAAUGGAGCCUAGUCUGGUUUCAGGAAUCCCUGAGCCUCACUGGAUAUCUCCUCCUGAGGUUUUGGUGGGUGACAUAGUUAGCAUUAACUGUCAACUUGACAGAGCCUAGAAUCCUCUGGGAGUGGGGAGCAGCGUUAGUUGAGUAAUUGUCUUUAUAAGAUUGUUCAGUGGGUAUGUAUGUCUGUGAGGGAUUGUCUUGAUGGCAGAUUGAUGCAGAAGGACCUGGUCCACCUUGAGUGGUCAGGUGGACCAGGGCUAUGUAACGAAGUUUAGGCAAGACAGCAAGCAGCUUCUUCAUGGCUUUUGCUUCAAGUUCUCCUUUGAGUUCCUGCCCUGAUCUCCCUCAGUGAAUCCCUCAAUGAUCUGGAAUUAGAACCAAAUAAAGCCUUUCCUCCUUUCAGUUGCUUUUAGUAGGCCUGAUGCUGUGAAAAGCCUCAAAGAUACCAUCCUAUUUAACCCCCCCAAUAGCCAUUUGUGUUUGCUACCACUUUUUCUUAAAGGGAAGGAAGUAAAUGUGUAGAAGGUUCAGUGAUUGCUCAAAGCCACACAGCCUGUGAGGGGCGGAGCCCAGGCCACACCCUUCUCAUUCCAAAUUCCUUACUUCAAUCAGGGAAUAUCAUAGAAUUUGUAUUCAAUUUUGACUGUUCUGUAUAUUUGGCCUUGUAUUAUAAACAUUUAUUUGAAUUAUUAAAUGACUUUUGUUAUACCUGAAACGUCAAAAAUUGAUGU
Molecule: non-coding RNA, 7174 nt
Organism: Rattus norvegicus (Norway rat)
Lineage: Eukaryota; Metazoa; Chordata; Mammalia; Rodentia; Muridae
Source: RefSeq, a predicted model, not a curated record